CAGAGUAGAUUUGCGCGCGUUAAGUGUCUUUUGAACGGGGAGUUGUCAAAAGAACGAAAAGUUUUCUUGCGGUGUGCAAAUCGCAUCCCGCUG
Molecule: non-coding RNA, 93 nt
Filed under: bovine gut metagenome
Description: THF riboswitch
Rfam family: THF (Tetrahydrofolate) riboswitch aptamer
About the family: THF riboswitch presents a pseudoknot that joins P1-P2 and the loop of P3 and two THF binding.
Source: RNAcentral